UUUAUUUCCCAGUAUUUUCAUUAGUUUAAUUAAACCAGCAUUUAACACACUGUUUUUAUUUUAUUUUUUGGUCUAAUAAACCUACUUCUAUAUGUAUUUCCUCAUAUACCACAUUCAUAUUUUAUCACACACUGCCCACACACAACUUGCUCCAGUCUCUUUUUUUCCUAUGUGACUGCUGUGCCAACUCCUCCAGCUUUACAAAUAUGAUAAGACCAAAGCUGCAAGAACUCUUCCAGCAUAUGGUAAUGGUUAACCAGAUAAUUCAUUUAGGGGUGGGAAUAGAAAACAGUCAGAAGUUAUUCUGUCUUCUGUGUGUUUGCCCGCCGUCAAUGAGUUGCAUUCAUUCAUAGCAGGACUCAGAAUGGAGGAGACGUUGCAACAAGAGAAACAAGAGUCGGAAUAUAAAAAUCCCAACGAGGAUCAAGGUGGGAUCCGUCGCCGAUUGAGGGACAGGGAUCUUCUCAGGAAGAGAAAGGCUGAAGCUGAAGAGAAGGAAACUAACCAGGUGGAGAGUCAGAGGAAAAGACCGAGGGCUGAGGACAGGAGCGGUGCAAAGAAGAAAGGGAGGCCCAGAAAGACUGAACCCAAACCGGAGGUAUCUGCCAUUCAGCAAGAGGCAGCACCGCCUCAGGAAGGUCCUGCAGUAGUGGUGGUGCCUGAACCCACUGAGGUCACCCUAGAUCAAACAGCAAGUUCUCUAUCACCCUUACUUACGGUGGAAUCAAAACCAGCAUCUGUCCUUGCUGCCCCUGCUCCUCUGCCACUGUUUGGCUCCAUCCAGAGCGCAGUCUUUGCUCCUACUCUGACUCCUCCAGCUCCAGUUAACCUGGCUCCAGCCCUUUUUUCACCUUCAGUUCCUGCCCAAGUUCCCGCCAAAGAUCUAGAUACGGCUCCAGUCCCCGUCCAAGAUUUGGCUCCAGCUCCAGAUGCUGCUCCAGUCCCCACCUCUGAUCCAGCUGCAGCUCCUUCUGCAGCUCCUCCCCAGGUGGAUCCCUUCUACAUAGGGUCACAAGGCAGUAAAGCCCUUGACCAGGUCCUGAUUGAGGACUUGGGCCCGGAUGAGGAGCAAGAAAUCCCUGUACCUCAAGACAAAAGAGCUGAUGAAGAUUUGAGUGGGACAGCGUCGAUUAACGUACCUGAACAAAGCAAAAUGUUCUCAGUUCCCACCUUCCCACAGCCGCCUCCUCCACAAGAAUACUUCCCAGGAAAUUCAUUCUAAUUUUCUAAAACACACAUUACAGAUACUGCCUCAGUUCAGAACACGCAAGCCAGACUUCAUCUUUUUUGGCCACAGUUUGUAUCUGACUAUUGUUUUGGUUAGUGUGCAGCCUGUUGAGGUUGAAGAGAAUAAACAUGUUGAGCAUAUGCAUCGCUUAUUUGCCAAAUGUAUGAUUUCAAACCUGUAUGCUUAUUUAUUCUGGUUUGUGCUUCACGGACAAGCUCAUGAAUUUUAUUUUGUAUUUUGCAUUUAGUAAACAGCAAAUUUUGCCUGCUUUUAUUUAAAAGUAAAUGGUAUAAAUCACUGGUAAUUAUGUAUUUGUAAUUGUGGAUUUAUUUGAAUUUUGUAAAAGUUGUUUUUCACCUAAUAAAAUAACCUGCUUACAAUCGUCUGGGUGUGGUCAUCAUUAUCUGCAUCAUUCAGACAUAAGAUAUGAUCAAAAAAUUAAAUAUAAGAGAUUUCCUUCAAAUUAGUUAAUAGAUUUUGAUCCCUCUAUUUACUGUGUUACAAAAUGUAACCGUCAAUAGUAGUAACUAUGGCCAAAUGUUACUUGGAUUAUGUAUAUACAGCACAUUUAUUGCACUCUAACUGAUAAGUAUAUAAAACUCUAACAAUAAACCAUUUUUAAAGUUCUGGUCAUUGAAAUUAAAAAGUAUAUGUCAUUAUUGUCUCCAGUGAACAUAAUAUCUGCACACUUGUAUUUAAUUUAUGCCUUGUUUGUUGCCUGUGGUACACCUGGCUCUACUUUUUCUGCCUACUCUUAUUGUGCUAGUUGUACUUUCCUUAAUACUAUACAGAGGUGGAAGACGUAUAUAUAUAUACAUAUCUACCACAAUGUAAAAUUACCCCAUUACAACAAAAAGUCCUGAAUUCAAAUGAGUAAUAUCAGCAACAUAUUUUUCAACAUCAGAAUCAAAUAUAAAAAGCAGAGCUUCUACAGCAGAAUGGUCACAGUCAGUGUAAUGUUAUUAUACAUUAUAUUAUUAGAUUAUGCAUUAGCAGGUAACAGUGAAAAAUAAUCCAGUAAAAGACUUGCAUUCAAACUUUACUUGUAAGUAUUAUCACCAAUAAUUUACUUAAGUGGCAAAGGUAAAAGUACUCAUUCUGCAGAAGUGGUCCCUGUCAGUGUUUUACUAUUAUAUGAUGUUUUUGAAAUGAUAUUACUUCUGAGUCAAUGUGUAUGUCGAAUUUCACUGCUGUAUAUACUGUUAGGUAGUUUAAUCAAAUAUGUUCGUAGUGUCACUGUCCUGUGAGAACCACGUUUAUUUCUUAACCAAUAGAGGAACACGUAAUCAGUUUAUAAGGACAGAUUCAAUUUAACAUAACCAAAUUUGGACAUACAUGGCUUUCCCUGGACAGGAAGGGUAUGAAAAAGAAAUUUAAAGAAGUAAAUAUUAGGGAUGCACGAUAAAUAUUAUGACAGAUAAAUUAUCGUCCGAUAAUAGGAAAUGUAUAUUAUUAUAAAUUAUCAAGAUAAUUAAAUUACAGCCAAUAAAUUGUCGGUUGAUAUUAAUAAUCAUUUAGUUGGAAUUCUUAUGCAAAACGAUUGAUAGACUUUAUCUUCAGUUAGAACAGGAUAUUAAAUCAUCCAUCUUUGCUCACUACAGCUGAUCCUUUCUUAAGCUCAAGUGUGUAAAAACUACAGGUUAUAAACAUUUUUUAAAUACAAUAAUGCUAUAAUGAUCUGUCAUCUUAUCGGUAUCGACCAUGAGAAGCUGGCACAUAUUGGUUAUCGUAUCGGCUGGAAAAAAGAAAAAUCCUAAUUGUGCAUACCUAGUAAUCGUAUCGGCUGGAAAAAAGAAAAAUCCUAAUUGUGCAUACCUAGUAAAUAUAUCUGUCAGACAAAAUGCAGCUGAGUAAGAAGUACAAUAUUUGCCUCUGAGAUGUAGUGGGUGGAAAUACUCAAGAAGAAGUAACUCUAAUUAAAUAGUGAAUUUGUACAGUACUUGAGUAAACACCCCCCCAUUCCACCACUGGGGGGUAUGCAGCAUUUUAAUGUCAUAGCUGGUGAGGUGGAACUAUUUUAUUCUGUUUAAUCUAUAACAUUGCAUUUUCUAUUAUAUCAGAUUAUCCUAUUUUUUUGUAACGUCAUGUCAAGUAAAUAAUAAUAUUUGAGUUGUUGAUUGAUUAUUAUUAUGUUACGGAUUAGUUGUGUAAGCAGAGUAAAAGCAAAUACUACAUCUACUUACAUUCCACCACUGACUGUAGAUUGUGUAGCUACAUUUAUAAAUAAAGUUUGUUUAAAAAAAAUAAAAUAAAUGACACAC
Dicentrarchus labrax (European seabass) is the source of this 3489-nucleotide long non-coding RNA. The record is from Ensembl. Lineage: Eukaryota; Metazoa; Chordata; Actinopteri; Moronidae.